AUACGUAGGGGGCGAGCGUUGUCCGGAAUGAUUGGGCGUAAAGGGCGCGUAGGCGGCGCGGUAAGUCUGGAGUGAAAGUCCUGCUUUCGAGGUGGGAAUUGCUUUGGAUACUGCCGCGCUUGAGUGCAGGAGAGGUUAUCGGAAUUCCCGGUGUAGCGGUGAAAUGGGUAGAGAUCUGGAGGAACACCAGUGGCGAAGGCGAGUCUCUGGUCUGUAACUGACGCUGAGGCGCGAAAGCGUGGGGAGCGAACAGGAUUAGAUACCCUGGUAGUCCACGCCGUAAACGAUGAGUGCUAAGUGUUAGGGGGUUUCCGCCCUUUAGUGCUGCAGCAAACGCAUUAAGCACUCCGCCUGGGGGGUACGGUCGCAAGACUGAAACUCAAAGGAAUUGACGGGG
Molecule: ribosomal RNA, 397 nt
Filed under: uncultured bacterium
Lineage: Bacteria
Description: partial 16S ribosomal RNA
Rfam family: Bacterial small subunit ribosomal RNA
Source: RNAcentral